This 468-nucleotide ribosomal RNA is filed under the name uncultured bacterium. RNAcentral describes it as "partial 16S ribosomal RNA". It matches the Rfam family "Bacterial small subunit ribosomal RNA", at positions 28 to 507 of the family's 1533-position model. The record is from RNAcentral.
GACGAACGCUGGCGGCGUGCUUAACACAUGCAAGUCGAACGGAAAGGCGCUGCUUUUGUGGGGUGCUCGAGUGGCGAACGGGUGAGUAACACGUGAGUAACCUGCCCUUGACUUUGGGAUAACUUCAGGAAACUGGGGCUAAUACCGGAUAGGAGCUCCUGCUGCAGGGUGGGGGUUGGAAAGCUUCGGCGGAGGGGGCUGGAUUCUCGGCUUAUCAGCUUGUUGGUGGAGUAGUGGCUUACCAGGGCUUUGACGGGUAGCCGGCCUGGGAGGGUGACCGGCGACCUUGGGCCUGAGGUACGGCCCAGACUCCUACGGGGGGCAGCAGUGGGAAACCUUGCCCAAUGGUGGCGCGCCUGUUGAAGAAGCCCCCCGAGCGGGAUGACGGCCUUCGGGUUGUGAACCGCUUUCGCCUGUGACGAAGCGUUAGUGACGGUACUGGGUGAAGAAGCACCGGCUAACUACGUG